Molecule: ribosomal RNA, 505 nt
Filed under: uncultured bacterium
Lineage: Bacteria
Description: partial 16S ribosomal RNA
Rfam family: Bacterial small subunit ribosomal RNA
Source: RNAcentral
GACGAACGCUGGCGGCGUGCCUAAUACAUGCAAGUAGAACGCACAGUUUAUACCGUAGCUUGCUACACCAUAAACUGUGAGUUGCGAACGGGUGAGUAACGCGUAGGUAACCUGCCUGGUAGCGGGGGAUAACUAUUGGAAACGAUAGCUAAUACCGCAUAAUAUUAAUUAUUGCAUGAUAAUUGAUUGAAAGAUGCAAUUGCAUCACUACCAGAUGGACCUGCGUUGUAUUAGCUAGUAGGUGAGGUAACGGCUCACCUAGGCGACGAUACAUAGCCGAACUGAGAGGGGGAUCGGCCAACCUGGGACUGAGACACGGCCCAGACCCCUUCGGGAGGCAGCAGUAGGGAAUCUUCGGCAAUGGACGAAAGUCUGACCGAGCAACGCCGCGUGAGUGAAGAAGGUUUUCGGAUCGUAAAGCUCUGUUGUAAGAGAAGAACGGGUGUGAGAGUGGAAAGUUCACACUGUGACGGUAGCUUACCAGAAAGGGACGGCUAACUACGUG